RNAcentral lists this ribosomal RNA (2931 nucleotides) under Escherichia coli. RNAcentral's name for it is "bacterial LSU rRNA". It matches the Rfam family "Bacterial large subunit ribosomal RNA". Lineage: Bacteria; Pseudomonadati; Pseudomonadota; Gammaproteobacteria; Enterobacterales; Enterobacteriaceae. The record is from RNAcentral.
GGGUUGUGAGGUUAAGCGACUAAGCGUACACGGUGGAUGCCCUGGCAGUCAGAGGCGAUGAAGGACGUGCUAAUCUGCGAUAAGCGUCGGUAAGGUGAUAUGAACCGUUAUAACCGGCGAUUUCCGAAUGGGGAAACCCAGUGUGUUUCGACACACUAUCAUUAACUGAAUCCAUAGGUUAAUGAGGCGAACCGGGGGAACUGAAACAUCUAAGUACCCCGAGGAAAAGAAAUCAACCGAGAUUCCCCCAGUAGCGGCGAGCGAACGGGGAGCAGCCCAGAGCCUGAAUCAGUGUGUGUGUUAGUGGAAGCGUCUGGAAAGGCGCGCGAUACAGGGUGACAGCCCCGUACACAAAAAUGCACAUGCUGUGAGCUCGAUGAGUAGGGCGGGACACGUGGUAUCCUGUCUGAAUAUGGGGGGACCAUCCUCCAAGGCUAAAUACUCCUGACUGACCGAUAGUGAACCAGUACCGUGAGGGAAAGGCGAAAAGAACCCCGGCGAGGGGAGUGAAAAAGAACCUGAAACCGUGUACGUACAAGCAGUGGGAGCACGCUUAGGCGUGUGACUGCGUACCUUUUGUAUAAUGGGUCAGCGACUUAUAUUCUGUAGCAAGGUUAACCGAAUAGGGGAGCCGAAGGGAAACCGAGUCUUAACUGGGCGUUAAGUUGCAGGGUAUAGACCCGAAACCCGGUGAUCUAGCCAUGGGCAGGUUGAAGGUUGGGUAACACUAACUGGAGGACCGAACCGACUAAUGUUGAAAAAUUAGCGGAUGACUUGUGGCUAGGGGUGAAAGGCCAAUCAAACCGGGAGAUAGCUGGUUCUCCCCGAAAGCUAUUUAGGUAGCGCCUCGUGAAUUCAUCUCCGGGGGUAGAGCACUGUUUCGGCAAGGGGGUCAUCCCGACUUACCAACCCGAUGCAAACUGCGAAUACCGGAGAAUGUUAUCACGGGAGACACACGGCGGGUGCUAACGUCCGUCGUGAAGAGGGAAACAACCCAGACCGCCAGCUAAGGUCCCAAAGUCAUGGUUAAGUGGGAAACGAUGUGGGAAGGCCCAGACAGCCAGGAUGUUGGCUUAGAAGCAGCCAUCAUUUAAAGAAAGCGUAAUAGCUCACUGGUCGAGUCGGCCUGCGCGGAAGAUGUAACGGGGCUAAACCAUGCACCGAAGCUGCGGCAGCGACGCUGAUGCGUUGUUGGGUAGGGGAGCGUUCUGUAAGCCUGCGAAGGUGUGCUGUGAGGCAUGCUGGAGGUAUCAGAAGUGCGAAUGCUGACAUAAGUAACGAUAAAGCGGGUGAAAAGCCCGCUCGCCGGAAGACCAAGGGUUCCUGUCCAACGUUAAUCGGGGCAGGGUGAGUCGACCCCUAAGGCGAGGCCGAAAGGCGUAGUCGAUGGGAAACAGGUUAAUAUUCCUGUACUUGGUGUUACUGCGAAGGGGGGACGGAGAAGGCUAUGUUGGCCGGGCGACGGUUGUCCCGGUUUAAGCGUGUAGGCUGGUUUUCCAGGCAAAUCCGGAAAAUCAAGGCUGAGGCGUGAUGACGAGGCACUACGGUGCUGAAGCAACAAAUGCCCUGCUUCCAGGAAAAGCCUCUAAGCAUCAGGUAACAUCAAAUCGUACCCCAAACCGACACAGGUGGUCAGGUAGAGAAUACCAAGGCGCUUGAGAGAACUCGGGUGAAGGAACUAGGCAAAAUGGUGCCGUAACUUCGGGAGAAGGCACGCUGAUAUGUAGGUGAAGUCCCUUGCGGAUGGAGCUGAAAUCAGUCGAAGAUACCAGCUGGCUGCAACUGUUUAUUAAAAACACAGCACUGUGCAAACACGAAAGUGGACGUAUACGGUGUGACGCCUGCCCGGUGCCGGAAGGUUAAUUGAUGGGGUCAGCGCAAGCGAAGCUCUUGAUCGAAGCCCCGGUAAACGGCGGCCGUAACUAUAACGGUCCUAAGGUAGCGAAAUUCCUUGUCGGGUAAGUUCCGACCUGCACGAAUGGCGUAAUGAUGGCCAGGCUGUCUCCACCCGAGACUCAGUGAAAUUGAACUCGCUGUGAAGAUGCAGUGUACCCGCGGCAAGACGGAAAGACCCCGUGAACCUUUACUAUAGCUUGACACUGAACAUUGAGCCUUGAUGUGUAGGAUAGGUGGGAGGCUUUGAAGUGUGGACGCCAGUCUGCAUGGAGCCGACCUUGAAAUACCACCCUUUAAUGUUUGAUGUUCUAACGUUGACCCGUAAUCCGGGUUGCGGACAGUGUCUGGUGGGUAGUUUGACUGGGGCGGUCUCCUCCUAAAGAGUAACGGAGGAGCACGAAGGUUGGCUAAUCCUGGUCGGACAUCAGGAGGUUAGUGCAAUGGCAUAAGCCAGCUUGACUGCGAGCGUGACGGCGCGAGCAGGUGCGAAAGCAGGUCAUAGUGAUCCGGUGGUUCUGAAUGGAAGGGCCAUCGCUCAACGGAUAAAAGGUACUCCGGGGAUAACAGGCUGAUACCGCCCAAGAGUUCAUAUCGACGGCGGUGUUUGGCACCUCGAUGUCGGCUCAUCACAUCCUGGGGCUGAAGUAGGUCCCAAGGGUAUGGCUGUUCGCCAUUUAAAGUGGUACGCGAGCUGGGUUUAGAACGUCGUGAGACAGUUCGGUCCCUAUCUGCCGUGGGCGCUGGAGAACUGAGGGGGGCUGCUCCUAGUACGAGAGGACCGGAGUGGACGCAUCACUGGUGUUCGGGUUGUCAUGCCAAUGGCACUGCCCGGUAGCUAAAUGCGGAAGAGAUAAGUGCUGAAAGCAUCUAAGCACGAAACUUGCCCCGAGAUGAGUUCUCCCUGACUCCUUGAGAGUCCUGAAGGAACGUUGAAGACGACGACGUUGAUAGGCCGGGUGUGUAAGCGCAGCGAUGCGUUGAGCUAACCGGUACUAAUGAACCGUGAGGCUUAACCUUACAACGCCGAAGGUGUUU